This 326-nucleotide ribosomal RNA is filed under the name uncultured eukaryote. Its description in RNAcentral is "partial 18S ribosomal RNA". It matches the Rfam family "Eukaryotic small subunit ribosomal RNA", at positions 1470 to 1796 of the family's 1831-position model. The record is from RNAcentral.
CCCUUAGAUGUUCUGGGCCGCACGCGCGCUACACUGAUGCAUUCAACAAGCCUAGCCUUGACCGAGAGGUCCGGGUAAUCUUUGAAACUGCAUCGUGAUGGGACUAGAUUAUUGCAAUUAUUAAUCUUCAACGAGGAAUGCCUAGUAAGCGUGAUUCAUCAAAUCGCGUUGAUUACGUCCCUGCCCUUUGUACACACCGCCCGUCGCUCCUACCGAUUGAAUGUGUUGGUGAGGAGCUCGGAUUGGCAGCAGUUGGUGGUUCGCCACCGGCUAUUGCUGAGAAGUCCUCCAAACCGCCCCAUUUAGAGGAAGGAGAAGUCGUAACA